CUGCCACCUCUAGUGGGAUGUCACCACCAGACAUGCAUUCCCCUCCCCUCCCUUGUCAUCAUUCUGUUUUGUCUCCAGACAAAGAAGUCUGUGCAGUGUAAUAUUUUGUAUAAAGCUAGAGGUAUCUAUAAUCCAAGUAGAGAGCGUUUUACACUCCACAGUCAUAAGACUGACUUUCCUUCCAUGCCCAUGAAAAUUAACGAUUGUAGACCUGAUCCUCCUUACCAAUUUGUGAUGUAUUUGGUUGUGUAUUUUAAUUUACCACAUGUAGUUAGGGCAAAGAGUCAUACUGGACCAAUGUGAACAAGAUCCAAAGAAUUUGAAGAUGGAGUCAAAAUCUGAAGGAGAACUCCAGACAGAAGGUGUGAGGAGAGGAGGCAAAUCAGAUUGGCAGAGUGGGAGGAGAGAGCCAAAAAGUCAUGCAGACAAGACCAUUGAGAAUUUUAAAAUUGACUGGCAAAAAGUGUUCUACAGUAUCUUUGCCUAUCUCAUAGCUGAAUCUUGAACAAAAGACAGUUUAUAUAAAGAUUAUUCACACUUCUGUGUUUGGUGUAUGAAUUCAGCAAAGAACCAAAAUCAGAGCAUCUUUCCAAGUGUCUGCUCACUUUAGUGACGGUUAAGAACUUGGUUAUCUGCUAGGUUCUGUGGACAUUCUAGCAGCAUGGAAAAUCACUCAGCAGCACACAGAAUUUAGAGAUGUUUUUUGAUGACAAUUCCAAAACAUCAAGGAAAAAGGAUUUUAAAAUAUUAUGCAUUUUGCAAAUUUCUACCUCCUUAGAUCUUCACACAAUGCAUUCUAAGUUUCAGCAAUACAGACAAUCAGCUCCCUUACAUUUGUAAACUUCAUCCUUGAGAGAAUUUGGUUUCCAACCUCCUCGCAAUGUCCCUUUCUUCCAAUUAUGGAGCUGAGAUUGAGAGAUUCAUCAGGAAGAGAUGAGGCAUAUCCAAUCACUCCACACCAAGGAAACCUACGCCUGUACUUGUGCCAGCAUCUCAUUCUGGACUCCAUCCUUCCCAUGCUCCAAUAUGUUGUAUUGUUCUAUUUCACUAUAAUAGACAUACAGUACACAUUCCCAAAACUAGCUCCACUAUCACUGCAGUUUGAGGGAAGUAAAGAUUCUCUCUGUGAUGGGUUCAGUAAUAGAAGCCACUUUUUUUUUUAAAAACACAAAGGUUUAAAACACUCGCAACCUUGAAAGCAUUGGCAAAAUGUUGUAGCUUUAGCUUGAAUGGAGAGGGAAGGAUGUUUUUGAAACCUAUUGUAACUGUUUUAAAAAUCAAUACAUUUUUGGUUAACAUUGUGUUAAUUAAAGGUGAAACAUUACUAUUGGCAAAUAGCACAUCUUUCAUUUCUGGUACUGAGUGUCAGCAGCAAGCAUCUUCAUCCCAUCUGCAGACUUAAUAUCACUAUGUAAGCAACACACUGAAACAAAUUAUCUAGCCAUGGUCACAUUUGUGGAAUUCUGUUUUGUGCAAACUUGCUGCUGCAUUUUGUUUCAACAUAAAUGAGUUACAGUCAGUGAAGUAUGCAAAUUCAGCCAAACUGCAUCCGUCCCAGACACCAAACAAAAGGUAAUCUAGCGAGUACAUUCAAGACAAAAUGAAUCCAAACUAUUUUGAAAAAAAAUGGAGUAAUUUGAUCUAUGUACCCUACAUGAAAUAGUAGUCUUUGAUUGUUUGAUAAUUCAGAAUAAAAUUAUUGCUUCCUGGAAA
Long non-coding RNA from Rhincodon typus (whale shark), 1713 nucleotides. RefSeq lists it as uncharacterized. The transcript is spliced from 3 exons. NCBI's taxonomy places the organism in Eukaryota, Metazoa, Chordata, Chondrichthyes, Orectolobiformes, Rhincodontidae. The record is from RefSeq and is a predicted model, not a curated record.